Molecule: unclassified non-coding RNA, 391 nt
Filed under: soil metagenome
Description: partial contains 5.8S ribosomal RNA, internal transcribed spacer 2, and large subunit ribosomal RNA
Rfam family: 5.8S ribosomal RNA (bases 1-122)
Source: RNAcentral
GAUGAAGAACGUAGCGAAAUGCGAUACUUGGUGUGAAUUGCAGAAUCCCGUGAACCAUCGAGUCUUUGAACGCAAGUUGCGCCUGAAGCCACUAGGCCGAGGGCACGCCUGCCUGGGCGUCACACGUCGUUGCCCCCCCAUCUACUCCUUCGGGAUUGCGGGGGGGCGGAUGAUGGCCUCCCGUGCGCCUAGCCGCGCGGUUGGCAUAAAUACCAAGUCCUCGGCGACGCACGCCACGACAAUCGGUGGUUGCGAAACCUCGGUUGCCCGUCGUGUGCGUUCGUCGCGCAUCGAGGGCUCGAAAAAAUGCUCGGCUUCGGCUCGGCUUUCAACGCGACCCCAGGUCAGGCGGGGUUACCCGCUGAAUUUAAGCAUAUCAAUAAGCGGAGGA